GACGAACGCUGGCGGCGUGCUUAACACAUGCAAGUCGAACGGAAAGGCCCUGCUUUUGUGGGGUGCUCGAGUGGCGAACGGGUGAGUAACACGUGAGUAACCUGCACUUGAAUUUGGGAUAACUUCAGGAAACUGGGGCUAAUACCGGAUAGGAGCUCCUGCUGCAUGGUGGGGGUUGGAAAGUUUCGGCGGUUGGGGAUGGACUCGCGGCUUAUCAGCUUGUUGGUGGGGUAGUGGAUUACCAAGGCUAUGACGGGUAGCCGGCCUGAGAGGGUGACCGGCCACAUUGGGACUGAGAUACGGCCCAGACUCCUACGGGAGGCAGCAGUGGGGAAUAUUGCACAAUGGGCGGAAGCCUGAUGCAGCAACGCCGCGUGCGGGAUGACGGCCUUCGGGUUGUAAACCGCUUUCGCCUGUGACGAAGCGUGAGUGACGGUAAUGGGUAAAGAAGCACCGGCUAACUACGUG
This 468-nucleotide ribosomal RNA is filed under the name uncultured bacterium. Its description in RNAcentral is "partial 16S ribosomal RNA". It matches the Rfam family "Bacterial small subunit ribosomal RNA", at positions 28 to 507 of the family's 1533-position model. The record is from RNAcentral.